Long non-coding RNA from Hyla sarda, 453 nucleotides. RefSeq lists it as uncharacterized. NCBI's taxonomy places the organism in Eukaryota, Metazoa, Chordata, Amphibia, Anura, Hylidae. The record is from RefSeq and is a predicted model, not a curated record. The transcript has 6 exons.
AGGAUUGCCCUCUUAACAUUUGUAUUCAUCCACAUUGGUUUUCUCCUAUUCCUGGCCCUUUUAUUCCCAUAAGGUAAUAGCAGACAUAGACUCGACCAUCAAAUUGACCAUAGAUUCACAGGGCACAAUUUUGCCUGACUACAAUCAACCAUCUCCAUUAGAGGUGUAGAUAUUUACAUCCCAAGUACCCUAACCAGCCAUCUUGUCCAUUAUCAAAGGAAGUGGCCUUCUUCUGAACAAUUUUGGCGCGCUCUGAGGAACUGACCAAUGGGAAUGCUUUUACGCAAUGUAGACGGAUGCCAGCUGGUCCAAUGAAGGAGACUAUUAGUCGAGGCACAGAAUCUACCAGAUAUCCUGCCUGGGAAUUGGCAUUAGGAGAACUAGCUGCUGCACACCACACCAAGCUCUGUGAUUUCUUGCUUUCACUAGAAUAAAUUGAAUUGAAGAUGGACC